This 497-nucleotide ribosomal RNA is filed under the name uncultured bacterium. RNAcentral describes it as "partial 16S ribosomal RNA". It matches the Rfam family "Bacterial small subunit ribosomal RNA", at positions 28 to 507 of the family's 1533-position model. The record is from RNAcentral.
GAUGAACGCUGGCGGCGUGCCUAAUACAUGCAAGUCGAGCGAACAGACGAGGAGCUUGCUCCUCUGACGUUAGCGGCGGACGGGUGAGUAACACGUGGAUAACCUACCUAUAAGACUGGGAUAACUUCGGGAAACCGGAGCUAAUACCGGAUAAUAUAUUGAACCGCAUGGUUCAAUAGUGAAAGACGGUUUUGCUGUCACUUAUAGAUGGAUCCGCGCCGCAUUAGCUAGUUGGUAAGGUAACGGCUUACCAAGGCAACGAUGCGUAGCCGACCUGAGAGGGUGAUCAGCCACACUGGAACUGAGACACGGUCCAGACUCCUACGGGAGGCAGCAGUAGGGAAUCUUCCGCAAUGGGCGAAAGCCUGACGGAGCAACGCCGCGUGAGUGAUGAAGGUCCUCGGAUCGUAAAACUCUGUUAUUAGGGAAGAACAAAUGUGUAAGUAACUAUGCACGUCUUGACGGUACCUAAUCAGAAAGCCACGGCUAACUACGUG